UGGGCCAGUGAUGAUCAUGAAAAGAAGAUCAUGAACAGUGAAAACAUGUCUGAAACUCUGAGGUCCAA
Small nucleolar RNA from Bison bison bison, 68 nucleotides. The record is from Ensembl. Lineage: Eukaryota; Metazoa; Chordata; Mammalia; Artiodactyla; Bovidae.